RNAcentral lists this ribosomal RNA (301 nucleotides) under uncultured bacterium. RNAcentral describes it as "partial 16S ribosomal RNA". It matches the Rfam family "Bacterial small subunit ribosomal RNA", at positions 509 to 809 of the family's 1533-position model. The record is from RNAcentral.
CAGUCGCCGCGGGAAUACGAAGGGGGCUAGCGUUGUUCGGAAUUACUGGGCGUAAAGGGCGCGUAGGCGGCGCAUCAAGUCAGGCGUGAAAGCCCCGGGCUUAACCUGGGAAUUGCGCUUGAGACUGGUGUGCUUGAGUACCGGAGAGGUGGGUGGAAUUCCCAGUGUAGAGGUGAAAUUCGUAGAUAUUGGGAAGAACACCGGUGGCGAAGGCGGCCCACUGGACGGUUACUGACGCUGAGGCGCGAAAGCGUGGGGAGCAAACAGGAUUAGAGACCCCCGUAGUCCCUGUCUUUAUACA